AUGCGCUAUGAUGAGCGGUACACACCAUAUGUAAGGGAGAUAGGACUUCUCCCUUUCAUUCAGUUGGUCAGUCGAUCGACGCCACCCAACAAUGCUGCAACACUCACCGCGCUUAUUGAUCAUUGGAGGCCGGAGACACACAGUUUCCAUCUUCAGACCGGGGAGAUGACCGUGACGCUCCAGGAUAUGGCUAUGAUCACCGGUCUUCCUAUCGAUGGGAAUCCUCUAUGUAUGAACACCGAUUCUGAUGGGUGGCGCGCACAGAUGCAUGCCCUUAUCGGUAUGGUUCCUUCAGAGCCUCGGGAACCAGAAGCAUAA
This 318-nucleotide ribosomal RNA is filed under the name Triticum aestivum (bread wheat). RNAcentral describes it as "partial small subunit ribosomal RNA". The record is from RNAcentral. Lineage: Eukaryota; Viridiplantae; Streptophyta; Magnoliopsida; Poales; Poaceae.